CCCCAAUACCGCUGGAAAUUAAGCAUAUCAAUAAGCGGAGGAAAAGAAACCAACUGGGAUUGCCCUAGUAACGGCGAGUGAAGCGGCAACAGCUCAAAUUUGAAAUCUGGCCUUUAGGCCCGAGUUGUACUUUGUAGAGGGUGCUUUGGCAUUGGUAGUGGUCUAAGUUCCUUGGAACAGGACGUCCUAGAGGGUGAGAAUCCCGUAUGUGGUUGCUUACCUUUGCCGUGUAAAGCCCCUUCAACGAGUCGAGUUGUUUGGGAAUGCAGCUCUAAAUGGGAGGUAAAUUUCUUCUAAAGCUAAAUACUGGCCAGAGACCGAUAGCGCACAAGUAGAGUGAUCGAAAGAUGAAAAGCACUUUGGAAAGAGAGUCAAAUAGCACGUGAAAUUGUUGAAAGGGAAGCGCUUGCAGCCAGACUUGCCCGCAGUUGCUCACCUAGGCUUUUGCUUGGGGCACUCUUCUGCGGGCAGGCCAGCAUCAGUUUGGGCGACCGGAUAAAGACCUCUGUCAUGUAUCUUCCUUUGGGAUGACCUUAUAGGGGAGGUGUAAUGCGGCCAGCCCAGACUGAGGUCCACGCUUUUUGCUAGGAUGCUGGCAUAAUGGCUGUAAGCGGCCCGUCUUGAAACACGGACCAAGGAGUCUAACAUCUAUGCGAGUGUUUGGGUGUCAAGCCCGGGCGCGCAAUGAAAGUGAACGGAGGUGGGAACCUUUGGGUGCACCAUCGACCGAUCCUGAUGUCUUCGGAUGGAUUUGAGUAAGAGCAUAGCUGUUGGGACCCGAAAGAUGGUGAACUAUGCUUGAAUAGGGUGAAGCCAGAGGAAACUCUGGUGGAGGCUCGCAGCGGUUCUGACGUGCAAAUCGAUCGUCAAAUUUGGGCAUAGGGGCGAAAGACUAAUCGAACUAUCUAGUAGCUGGUUCCUGCCGAAKUUCCCSUCGGMGRAUAWAAA
Molecule: ribosomal RNA, 948 nt
Filed under: Magnicamarosporium diospyricola
Lineage: Eukaryota; Fungi; Ascomycota; Dothideomycetes; Pleosporales; Sulcatisporaceae
Description: eukaryotic LSU rRNA
Rfam family: Eukaryotic large subunit ribosomal RNA
Source: RNAcentral